AUUGAACGCUGGCGGCAGGCCUAACACUUGCAAGUCAAGCGGAUGAAGGGAGCUUGCUCCUGGAUUCAGCGGCGGACGGGUGAGUAAUGCCUAGGAAUCUGCCUGGUAGUGGGGGAUAACGUCCGGAAACGGGCGCUAAUACCGCAUACGUCCUGAGGGAGAAAGUGGGGGAUCUUCGGACCUCACGCUAUCAGAUGAGCCUAGGUCGGAUUAGCUAGUUGGUGGGGUAAAGGCCUACCAAGGCGACGAUCCGUAACUGGUCUGAGAGGAUGAUCAGUCACACUGGAACUGAGACACGGUCCAGACUCCUACGGGAGGCAGCAGUGGGGAAUAUUGGACAAUGGGUGAAAGCCUGAUCCAGCCAUGCCGCGUGUGUGAAGAAGGUCUUCGGAUUGUAAAGCACUUUAAGUUGGGAGGAAGGGCAGUAAGUUAAUACCUUGCUGUUUUGACGUUACCAACAGAAUAAGCACCGGCUAACUUCGUG
This 484-nucleotide ribosomal RNA is filed under the name uncultured bacterium. Its description in RNAcentral is "partial 16S ribosomal RNA". It matches the Rfam family "Bacterial small subunit ribosomal RNA", at positions 30 to 507 of the family's 1533-position model. The record is from RNAcentral.